Molecule: ribosomal RNA, 252 nt
Filed under: Veillonella atypica KON
Lineage: Bacteria; Bacillati; Bacillota; Negativicutes; Veillonellales; Veillonellaceae
Description: partial 16S ribosomal RNA
Rfam family: Bacterial small subunit ribosomal RNA
Source: RNAcentral
UACGUAGGUGGCAAGCGUUGUCCGGAAUUAUUGGGCGUAAAGCGCGCGCAGGCGGAUAGGUCAGUCUGUCUUAAAAGUUCGGGGCUUAACCCCGUGAUGGGAUGGAAACUGCUGAUCUAGAGUAUCGGAGAGGAAAGUGGAAUUCCUAGUGUAGCGGUGAAAUGCGUAGAUAUUAGGAAGAACACCAGUGGCGAAGGCGACUUUCUGGACGAAAACUGACGCUGAGGCGCGAAAGCCAGGGGAGCGAACGGG